RNAcentral lists this unclassified non-coding RNA (276 nucleotides) under Rhinocladiella aquaspersa. RNAcentral describes it as "partial contains 5.8S ribosomal RNA, internal transcribed spacer 2, and large subunit ribosomal RNA". The record is from RNAcentral. Lineage: Eukaryota; Fungi; Ascomycota; Eurotiomycetes; Chaetothyriales; Herpotrichiellaceae.
CGCACAUUGCGCCCUUUGGUAUUCCGAAGGGCAUGCCUGUUCGAGCGUCAUUAUCACCCCUCAAGCCCCGUGGCUUGGUGUUGGACGGCCGGCCUCUUCAUCGAGGCCCCUCCCAAAGUUAAUGACGGCGGCCUGUCGGACCCCCGGUACACUGAGCUUCUUCAUUGAGCACGUACCGGUCUUCGUGGUUGGCAGGCUCCGGUCCUCCGUUCCCUUCAUCGGGAACACCUUCUCAAGGUUGACCUCGGAUCAGGUAGGGAUACCCGCUGAACUUAA